Long non-coding RNA from Ictalurus punctatus (channel catfish), 706 nucleotides. RefSeq lists it as uncharacterized. The record is from RefSeq and is a predicted model, not a curated record. The transcript is spliced from 2 exons. Lineage: Eukaryota; Metazoa; Chordata; Actinopteri; Siluriformes; Ictaluridae.
GAGAUUCAACGGUCUACCGAAGAGAACAUGGCAGGCAAUACUGAAAACAGGGUACAAAGGCUUGUGGACUCAUUAAGAACAGCUGUACAGUGGUGCAAAGAAAAUGAGCACCGCUUUUUGCAAAAGGUCGAGAUGCCUGAUGUCCUGUUGAUGCCACCUGAAGAUGCUGCUAAUGCCGUAAAGGUGUUUCUAGAGACGCAUGACAGCAGUGAAGAAGAAAGAGAUGAAGCAAUUGUUCCUUUCUUGUUUCACUUCCAUACAUUUGCUGACAUGGACUUAUUCUUGACUGAAUUGUCAGAUAGAAGAAAACUUUUGGUAUUCACUAUUUUAAAAUAAAGCACUUGCGAAAGAGCCAUGAGGUGGGAGGAACAGUGACCCCAAUCUAGGAUGAGCCACAGAUCACGCUGUAACGCAACCUCAGUAUACAGCUCUUGCGGCCCACAGGAAAAUGGAAUAACUUACAAUGUUAUGUACAUAUAAUCUGUUGGAAUAUCUUCCACUCUAUUACAUUUUUACAUACGUUCAUACCUCUUUCUCCUUGUCCUGGCCACUCUUUCCCAUCUUUCACCCACUUCUGUCUGCUAGGGUGCAGGCUUGCUUACUUUAUAAAAAAAAUAAAUAAAUUCCAAAGAUGUUACUGCUUUGACAGCGAAUGUGUAAUCUCUUCAGAUCAGCCUUCCACCCCCCAAAUAAAAGUAUCAUUCCA